GAUGAACGCUGGCGGCGUGCUUAACACAUGCAAGUCGAACGAUGAAGCCCAGCUUUCUGGGUGGAUUAGUGGCGAACGGGCGAGUAACACGUGAGUAACCUGCCCUUAACUCUGGGAUAAGCCUGGGCAACUGGGUCUAAUACCGGCCAGGAGCGUUCACCGCAUGGUGGGUGUUGGAAAGAUUUAUCGGUUUUGGCUGGACUCGCGGCCUAUCAGCUUGUUGGUGAGGUAAUGGCUCACCAAGGCGACGACGGGUAGCCGGCCUGAGAGGGUGACCGGCCACACGGGGACUGAGACACGGCCCAGACUCCUACGGGAGGCAGCAGUGGGGAAUAUUGCACAAUGGGCGAAAGCCUGAUGCAGCGACGCCGCGUGAGGGAUGACGGCCUUCGGGUUGUAAACCUCUUUCAGUAGGGAAGAAGCGAAAGUGACGGUACCUGCAGAAGAAGCACCGGCUAACUACGUG
Molecule: ribosomal RNA, 466 nt
Filed under: uncultured bacterium
Lineage: Bacteria
Description: partial 16S ribosomal RNA
Rfam family: Bacterial small subunit ribosomal RNA
Source: RNAcentral